Molecule: long non-coding RNA, 2148 nt
Organism: Planococcus citri (citrus mealybug)
Lineage: Eukaryota; Metazoa; Arthropoda; Insecta; Hemiptera; Pseudococcidae
Exons: 2
Source: RefSeq, a predicted model, not a curated record
UCACACCUGUGUACUUUUCCAGUACCUAUACUACUUAUACCGUCUACGUAAGUGCUUACCUGGUACUUUUUUUCUGGUGGUAGAUAAAUUAGGUCGAAUUGGCUUCGGACUUUCUUUUCUUUGAAGUUGAUGAUUUGUAUUUAAAUAUUUCUCGAAGUGACGUUUCGAUUUACACUUAAGUAAAGUGUGAAGUAAAUUUUGAAUUCGCGUUUAAUUUCUCGACGAAUUUAAUUAUUUUAAAAUUCGGUUCUUCAAUCCUUGGAUUUAACAGCUUUAACCCCGAGCUGGGAGAGUGUCAGUAUCCAAAUGAUGGAUAGGAGUCCAUCCGCGUGAAGAUGUAUAUAUGUGGUUGAGCCAAGAUUUUCCUCAGAUACCUAUAUUCCAUUUCAAUGAAAAAAUGAGCCAUAACGUAAUGAAGCGAAGAAUGGAUUUCACAAUCUUCUCAAGAAUAAGAAGGAAACAAAAAAGUAUGUACCUAUUUUCCAAAUUUUUAUAGUAUCUACCUAUCUACAAUUUCGUUUGGAAUCAUCUAUUUGUAUGAUAGUUUUUUGGUUACCUACUAGUUGGCACUACUGAAUUAUUUAUAAAAUAUUGAGCUCUUCUCCAAGUACUUGCCUACACAUGUAGGAAGUUCCUUUCUAAAUUUCUGCCGAAGAAAAACGUUUUGUGGGCUUUUGAAAACUUUGAACUUGACUGAACUAUCACUUAUUGAUACCUAUUCGAAUUUCAAAGAACGUUUCAUUUAAAAAUUUGACUGAGAAUAUUAUGGUUUCGUGAUUUUUAGCAAAAAGUACCCAAAAGUUACCUACAUUACAUAGUUACCUAAUCUAUCUAAUGGGAUUAGUAAGGACUCGAUAAAAUAUCCGCAGAUCACUCAAAAAUGCAACAAAUAAGCUUGAGAAAUCGCCUCGAAGACAACUUAUCAGCACAGAUCAGCCAAUUAUAUCGAAAAAUAUUCAACUAAAUUAAAUAUUGCAAUAAAAACGUAAUUAUUUACAAUUUUACCAAACAAUGGACUAGUCAAGAAUCCCACCAAUUCGAAACUUCCAAACACUAGACCAUAUUCGGUGGCCGUUGCUCCUUUAUUUUCAGCCUAAAAAGUCGAUAAAAAUGAUCACUUACAAAAAUGAAAAAAAAAAUCAAAAAUCAACACGAGUGAGAAAAAAAACGAAAAAAUUGCUCACCUCUUUCGGGUAAAAAGGAGCUUGCAGCGAAACACACGCGGAACAGAAGAAAUUCACGCAUGCUACGAUAAAUAAAGUCAAUAAUUGACGUCUCGAAAGCUUAACUUUGGCCAUUGUCUUCAGCACGUGCAAUGCAUUUCCUUGGAAAAUCCUCUUCGAUGAUACGGUGGCGUAAUCGAUCCAAUCGAUAGAUACAGCAAUAAACGCGAACUUUCAAUAUUCUGGAAUUGAAUAAUUGAUACAAUGUUUCAUAAGAUAAGUACCUAUCUACGUAGUUAGGUAACUAUGAUUUGAAAAAUUGCCAUAUUCGUGUAAUUUUCAAGCCCUUAUCAAGUCGAUGUAAAUUUACCGAGUUAUCGGCUUAUUCUGUAUUGCAAAAUUAAAGUAUACCUACCUACGUAAAAAGAAUGAAUGGCGCUCAUUAAUGAUAGCGUUUACCUAAUUAUCUUCGAUUCGUUCGUUUCCUAAAAUUAAAUCAUCUUCGUACGGUACAAUCAAAUUUCAAAAUUUUCCCUUCAAUAAAAACCGUUCAAAAGUCAAUAUUGAAAAUUUUUUAAACUGGGUAAUUGUUUCCUAGUAUCGAACGAUUUUUCAAAUUCAAUUGCCACAAAUUUGGAAAAUUCCUCGAACGAAUUCCACCCCGAAGACAAAUAAGGGAGAAAAAACACACGAAUAUUUUCAUAUUAUAAAUUGGUAUUAGAUAGGUAGGUAAAAUUCUUCGUAAAAACAAUACUCACUUUUGAACUACCGGAAAGUGAUAACUCGUUUGCUUGAAAUUGUUGGGCAAACUGACGACGCUAAUUUUUGAACAAGCCUAUUCGAUGAUUGAAAGCGCAAAUUUGGAAUCCGCUGAUGAAAUUGUACGACGAGCAGGCUGUAAAAUCGAAACGAAUUUCAAGCAUUUUUCGAAAAAAUGGACGGUUUUUUAACGCGCAACCGAGUAUUAACCUUUGCAUGGUUAAAA